AUGUGGGGAUACAGUGAGCACAUAGCUGUUUAUCUCAGUAGAGCAAAACAGCUCCUGUAAUAGUUUCUGAUGGGUAGUUACUGGUCCUUCCUCUUCAGGGUGUUUGGAGUCUGCAGCAGAGCUGCGGAGAGAGCCAGGGCUCCAGCCAGCAGCAUUUUGCUCUGCUCAAGGAUGUCUGGGGGUGUAUCCUGCAUACUCAGCCAGACAUGGGCAAUGAACCAUUUAUGAACUGGUUGUUUUAGGUAAGUGUUGCAUAUCUGUUAUCAUAUCUGUACAGAUAUGAAUUCCAUAACAGACAAAUUAUCCAAUAUUCUUAAAUAACUGCUGUUAAGUGUUGCACAUACUGUUAAAAUUUGUAACUAAAGACUGAUGGUUCUGUUUGGUCUUGAUUAAAAAUAUUUAUAUACCGUAAAAAAAAUCCUACAAAAUAUCAUCACGAGUGCUUGUGUAAAAAUACCUCUGUGCAGUAUGGCAGGCACAGGAAGAGCCUUGCUAAGAGAGAAAUAACUGUCUUGUUUCCUUUGUGUUAAAUCAUUUAAUCCAUGACUUGAAUUUCAGGGAGUUUAGUAAUGACCUUUUCCUUUCUUUCCCUGUCAACUAGAAAUCCAGUUGAUUACAAUUACAUUUUUUGAAAUAUAAAAUAACAGCAUAUAUUGUGACAAAUAUUGCAGCAUUUCACAUUUUUUGUAUCAAAGCCCAAACCAUUUUGAUCUAUGUUUGAGAUCAGAUUGUAAUACAACCUUUCUUCCAGUGGAGGAGUAAGAGGGUUCGAGGCUCUCUGUGUAUUCUUCUGACCUGCCAACUGUACCCCAGAAACUGCAGGAAUCAAAAUUUUUUAUUACCCUCUAUACAAACCUAGAAAUGUGGAAAACUUUUCACUUAAUUCACUCAACUAGGACCAAUUUAAGUGGGUGAAUGCAACAAGUCAGCCUGUACUAGUAAGCAAUCAUCUAUUGGCUUACUGAAAAGACAGCUAUGUCUCCUUGAGGCUUGUGCUAGAUACAGCUGAGUUUCCUUCAUUGCUGCUAUUUGUACUAAAAAUGUAAACAGAAGUCAACGGAUUUUAGAUAUUAUUCCUUUCUUGUUGCUGAUUGAGAUGUAACAUAGUAAAGUCAGAAGAUUCUACAUUAAGUAUUCUUUAGAGAAUUCAACAAGAUAAUCUGUUUUAAAACAGACCUAAAUCAAUGAGUUUAUUCAGUAACCUCUAGACAUAAAUGUACCUCUUUGACAAAGAAAAAAUCGGACUGGUCUCUGUGCAUUGUUUUUUGUUUGCUUUUUAAUCCAAAAUCCACAAUUCUUUGAUUCUGUGAAAAUACAGGCUUAAAUUGCAAGGAUUUUGCAUUUACAUGCAUUUCAUCAUAGUUUCUCAGAGGACAGAAUAGAAGCAGACACUACUCAUCUGAGAUACUAUCUUCUACAUUUUUGGAAACAGGUUAGAUAUAAAAAGCAGAAAGAUGGGGAAGACAUGAAAAUUGAGACCCACCAGUUUGACUUAGACGUUUUCAGACACGUUCACAACUUUAAUGUGAUGUUAAGUUAAAUAAAUGACACUCGAGUACAUCUGGCA
Molecule: long non-coding RNA, 1567 nt
Filed under: Numida meleagris (helmeted guineafowl)
Lineage: Eukaryota; Metazoa; Chordata; Aves; Galliformes; Numididae
Description: lncRNA (ENSNMEG00000013885.1)
Source: RNAcentral